AUGCCCUUGGGGCUCUCCUCAGCUUCUCUGUCAACUCUCUUUGCCCCAAAUCCUGCAGACAUAGGAGGCUUGGUAUCCUAUAUAAACAUUCCUGCCUCCAGGAACAAGCUAGCUUCAAGCAAAAAGAAUCAAGCUCAUGAGACAUCCCUCCCCCCACACACCCUACUCCUACUCCUACCCAGCUUGGACCACAGCUCCCCACAGAGCAGCUCUGGCCUCUUGUGGGAUGCGGGUGUAUUGGUUGUUGCCAUGGUGAUAGAAGAACGUUACUGUCAUGCACAGAGGAGCAGCACAGAGUGGGUCUCCCCUGCCUGGGAAACUCAGAGGAUUCAUCAGAGGUUGUUUUCUAGUUGCUUCCUCACACCACUUCAUGGGAGCCAACAACAGGAUGGGAAUAUCAAUGACUGUCUGAAUAGGAAGCCUCAGAUGAGCCCCGCAUGGAGAGCAGAGACAGGCAAGUGGAGAGUGCUAAGGCGCAGCUGCAGGAAGGAAAAUUCUGUCUGUGCAGCCGCGGGGUAUAGAGAGCCGCCGGGACCUGGCAACAGCGCGGCUCUUGACGGAGCUCCGCCCACCUCCAGCGACUGCGGCUGCAUCCAGGCAACUGCUCCGCCUGGCCGGUGAUGAAGGCAGCUACCGAGUGGGCGGGAGGACGUGACACUCGCCCAGGUGAGGGCCUGGGCCCAAUAGCUCUACAGAGCUGGAGCUUGGACAAAAGCCUUAGACAACAUACCAGGGAGGAGAAGAUGAAGGUCUUCUUUCUCCCUGCUCCCCAAACAGUGCCCCUACCCACCACCAAAUCAUCUGAGGGCCUUUUAUAAAAUCACAUCCUAGGAUCACCGGGGUGGCUCAAUCGGUUAAGCAUCCUACUCUUGGCCUAAGUGUUACAUUUGUAAAUUUACACUUCUUAUAGUUGCUUCUACUGGCAUCCUUUCAUUUUCUGGUACUUGACUAUGAGCAUAUAAAAAUGAUUCCUUUUAAAGGAUAGAAUCAGCACUCAAAUUCAAUAACUCAAAUGAGGAAGUGAGCAAGAUCAGGAUGGAGAAAACUUACGAGAAUAGUUUGGUUGUAUGAGAUGUGUUUGGGAUUAUUUCUGCAAUUGUAAUACAAGCUCUUGUUUCAUAAUAUGGACCCUACUCUGGAAAACACUUUCAGUGUUAAAUCAACCAACCACAUCUUCCUUGAUGUGAAUAAAUAGCAGAAAGAUUCCUACUGAAAUGUUCUA
RNAcentral lists this long non-coding RNA (1222 nucleotides) under Vulpes vulpes (red fox). RNAcentral describes it as "lncRNA (ENSVVUG00000015659.1)". The record is from RNAcentral. Lineage: Eukaryota; Metazoa; Chordata; Mammalia; Carnivora; Canidae.